AUGGCUGAGGAGAAUCCUUCAUCUGGAGAUGCAGUCACUGAGCAAGACAUUGCAUCGGAUAACCACUCAGCAGUGGAGGAGGUUUCCAAAGAAAAUGAACAAGAUGAGAAUAAGAGCAAGGAGGAAGGAACAAAGAGAGUACCAUAUUACAAGCUCUUCUCCUUUGCUAACUCUGUGGAUUACAUGUUAAUGUCCACUGGUACAAUCAGCGCCGUUGGAAAUGGACUCUGUACGCCCCUGAUGACUGUAGUCAUGGGAGAUAUGAUUAAUUCCUUUGGAGAAACUAGGAAUAACAAGGAAGUGGCUAAUGCAGUUUCCAAGGUGGCUUUGAAGUUCUUUUACUUGGCGGGGCUGCUGCUGCAUCAUUUCUACAGAUGUCUUGCUGGAUGAUCACUGGAGAGAGACAGGCUGCACGAAUACGAAGUCUAUACUUAAGAACCAUUCUGAGGCAAGAUGUUGGCUUUUUUGAUAAAGAAAUCAACUCUGGCGAAAUUGUUGGGAGGUUGUCAGGUGAUACCGUGCUUAUUCAAGAGGCCAUGGGCGAGAAGGUAGGAAGUUUCAUUCAGUUAGUUGCAACCUUCAUCAGUGGCUUUGUAAUAGCAUUUACUAAAGGAUGGCUUCUCACCCUUGUUAUGCUAUCCUCUAUUCCCCCUCUUGCCUUUACUACUGGUGUCCUGAACCAUUUCAUAGUGAAAUUGGCAUCCCGCGGACAAGCUGCAUAUUCAGAAGGGGCAACUGUUGUGGAGGAAACAAUUGGUUCGAUCCGAACUGUUGCAUCAUUCACAGGGGAGAAGCAAGCUGUAUCCAACUAUAAUGCCUCCUUAACUAAAGCUUACAAGUCAGCUGUACAAGAGGGGGUUGGACAUCUGGUUUGGGUUUUGGUGCGGUUAUGCUUAUGGUAUUCUCUAGUUACGCUUUGGCUGUAUGGUUUGGCGGAAUAAUGAUACUUGAAAAAGGAUAUAAAGGAGGAGAUGUCAUGAAUGUAAUUGUUGCUGUCUUAAUUGGCUCUGUGUCUCUUGGGAAAGCAUCACCAUGCAUUAGAGCAUUUGCUCCUGGACAAGCUGCAGCUUACAAGAUGUUUGAGACCAUUAACAGAAAGCCAGAUAUAGAUGCGUAUGACACCAAGGGGCGGGUAUUACAUGAUAUUCGAGGAGACAUAGAACCGAAAGAUGUUGAUUUUAGUUAUCCCUCAAGACCGGAUCAGCAAAUAUUACAUGGAUUUUGUCUCUCAAUACCUAGUGGUGCAACUGCUGCUUUGGUUGGACAGAGUGGAAGUGGUAAAUCUACUAUAAUCAGUUUGAUUGAGAGGUUCUAUGAUCCACAAGCUGGUGAAGUUCUUAUUGAUGGUGUUAAUUUGAAAGAGUUCCAACUGAAAUGGAUCCGACAAAAAAUAGGCCUCGUCUGCCAGGAACCAGUUUUAUUUACUGGUAGCAUCAAAGAUAAUAUUGCCUAUGGAAAGGAAGGAGCAACUACUGAAGAAAUAAAGGCUGCUGCUGAGCUUGCCAAUGCCUCAAAAUUUAUAGAUUUAAUGCCUCAGGGAAUCAACACAAUGGUUGGUGUGCACGGAACUCAGCUAUCUGGGGGACAAAAGCAAAGAGUUGCUAUAGCUAGAGCAAUUCUGAAGAACCCAAGAAUCCUACUUUUGGAUGAAGCCACAAGUGCUCUUGACACACAAUCUGAGAGAGUUGUGCAGGAGGCACUGGACAGAAUAAUGAUUAAUCGUACUACUGUCAUAGUAGCUCACCGCUUGAGCACAGUGAGGAAUGCUGACACCAGUGCUGUAAUACAUCAUGGAAAGAUUGCUGAAAAAGGAUCACAUUGGGAGCUACUUAGGGAUUGUGAUGGAGCAUAUAGCCAGCUUAUAAGAAACGAGCACUGUGUCAGAACAUACUGGUCUAAAUGGUCGUGAUUCGUUCUUAUCAUUCAUGACUUUAGAAUCAUCCCCAAGAAGAAAUAGUAUAUCGUCUCCAAGAAGAAAUAGUAGAUCAUCUCCAAGAUGAAAUAGUAGUCCUAUCUCAUUCUCAAACUCAUUUGGUAUUCCUACCCCGAGCAGUAUGCUUGAAACAGAACAUGUAGAACCUGAUGUUCCUGGUCCAGCACUAUCAAAAGGACUACCAAAAGUCUCACUUCGACGACUGGCUUACCUGAACAAGCCAGAGUUCCCAAUUCUAUUUCUAGGUACAAUUGCUGCAGCAGUUAACGGGGUAAUCUUCCCUAUUUUUGGGAGUUUGAUGGCGAGUGUAAUCAAGACAUUCUUUGAGCCACCUCAUGAACUCCGUAAAGAUUCAAAGUUUUGGGCAUUAAUGUUUUUGGUCCUUGGAACGGCAUCUCUGUUGGCUAGUCCAUCGAGAGCAUAUCUUUUUGCUGUUGCAGGAUGUAGACUAAUCAAACGAAUCCGAGAAAUGUGCUUUGAGAAGGUGGUUUACAUGGAAGUAAGUUGGUUUGAUGAAGCUGAACACUCAAGUGGUGCAAUUGGCGCAAGGCUUUCCACAGAUGCAGCAUCUUUAAGAGGGCUAGUUGGAGAUUCUCUAGGUUUGGCUGUUGAGAACAUGGCAACUGCAAUUGCUGGGGUGUUCAUUGCUUUUGUUGCAAAUUGGCAACUGGCUCUUGUAAUGCUUGUUCUGUUUCCUUUAUUAGGAGUAAAUGUAUAUUUACAAGUCCAGUUCAUGAAAGGAUUCAGUGAAGAUGCUAAGAAAAUGUACGAGGAUGCAAGCCAAGUAGCUAGUGAUGCUGUGGGAAGUAUUCGGACAAUUGCUUCCUUUUGUGCUGAAGAGAAGGUGAUUGAGUUGUACAAGAAAAAAUGUAAAGGCCCUAUUAAGACUGGGAUAAGACUAGGGUUAGUUACUGGGAUAGGUUUCGGGAUAUCAUUAUUUUUACAGUUUUCAGUGUUUGCCUUGAGCUUUUAUAUCGGAGGUCUACUUGUUGGGGCAGGCAAGACAACAUUCUCUGCUGUUUUCCGGGUUUUCUUUGCUCUUACUAUGACUUCUGUAGGACUUGCUCAGUCGACCUCCCUAGCACCUGAUGCAAGUAAAGCUAGGGUGUCUGCUGAUUCCAUAUUUGCAAUUCUUGACAGGAAAUCAAAAAUAGACUCUAGUGAUAACUCAGGUAUGAUUAUAGAAGACUUGAAGGGAGAAAUUGAAUUUCAUCAUGUCAGCUUCAAGUAUCCUAGUAGACUUGAUGUGCACAUUUUAAACGAUUUUCGCUUGACUUUUAGUCAUGGCAAGACAAUUGCUCUGGUUGGUGAAAGUGGAAGUGGGAAGUCAACAGUGAUCUCAUUGAUUCAAAGAUUUUACGACCCAAAUUCAGGUCGCAUUACACUGGAUGGAAUCGAAAUCCAGAAACUGCAAUUGAAGUGGUUGAGACAGCAAAUGGGGCUAGUGAGCCAGGAGCCUCUGCUGUUUAAUGAGACUAUCCGAGCUAACAUUGCAUAUGGAAAGGAUGGAGAGGCAACCGAGGCUGAAAUUACAGCUGCUGCAGAUCUCGCAAAUGCACACCAGUUUAUUAGUAGUUUACAACAUGGUUAUAAUACAAUAGUGGGGGAGCGAGGGGUUCAACUGUCUGGUGGACAGAAGCAAAGAAUAGCUAUUGCAAGAGCUAUUAUGAAGGCACCAAAGAUUUUAUUGCUAGAUGAAGCCACAAGUGCUCUUGAUGCUGAAUCAGAACGCGUGGUUCAAGAUGCAUUGGAUCGAGUUAUGGUGGAUAGAACCACAAUUGUGGUUGCUCACCGGUUAUCCACAAUCAAGGGUGCAGAUCUAAUUGCUGUGGUGAAAAAUGGAGUCAUUGCAGAGAAAGGAAAGCAUGAAAGAUUGAUCAAUAUCAGCAAUGGCAUUUAUGCAUCAUUGGUAGCAUUACAUGCAAGUGCCUCAUCUUAG
Molecule: RNA transcript, 3872 nt
Organism: Fragaria vesca subsp. vesca
Lineage: Eukaryota; Viridiplantae; Streptophyta; Magnoliopsida; Rosales; Rosaceae
Gene name: ABC transporter B family member 11-like
Exons: 12
Source: RefSeq, a predicted model, not a curated record